Small nucleolar RNA from Fukomys damarensis (Damara mole-rat), 115 nucleotides. Lineage: Eukaryota; Metazoa; Chordata; Mammalia; Rodentia; Bathyergidae. The record is from Ensembl.
ACUGAGGAAUGAUGAUGGUAAAAGGCCGAAUUGCAGUGUCCCCAUCUACAGUUUGCUCUCUGUGUGGGCACACGAUGACAAAAUCUCCUGAAGCGAACAGCAGUCUGACCUCAGU